Molecule: transfer RNA, 73 nt
Filed under: Acanthaster planci (crown-of-thorns starfish)
Lineage: Eukaryota; Metazoa; Echinodermata; Asteroidea; Valvatida; Acanthasteridae
Description: tRNA-Ala
Rfam family: tRNA
About the family: Transfer RNA (tRNA) molecules are approximately 80 nucleotides in length. Their secondary structure includes four short double-helical elements and three loops (D, anti-codon, and T loops).
Source: Rfam by way of RNAcentral
GGGGGAUUAGCUCAAGCGGUAGAGCGCUCGCUUUGCAUGCGAGAGGUACCGGGAUCGAUACCCGGGUCUUCCA